CUCAGGUGAUCCGCCCACCUUGGCUUCCCAGAGUACUGGGAUUACAGGCAGGAGACACCAUGCCUGGCCUUAGAUAUGCAAACUGAAGUUUAAAAAGCUUAGUUCUCUUGCCCAAGGUCUCAUAGCUAGUAAACAUAAAAGAAAAAAAAAAAAAACCUCAGUCAGAAUGGCAGCAUGGGAAGCCCACCUAACUCUCUUCUCUGAGUCCUUUGCCUAUUAAGAAAAACUCUCACCUCCUGGUCCAGGCACGAAACAACACUGUCUAUCCGACAGAGCCUGGGCUGGGAGCAGCACAGGGUCUAGACUUGCCUCUGCGUAGACCUCAGUGUAUUCUAAGAUCCUACUUUUCUUGGCCUGUUUCUCCAUCUACAAAGUGGAAGUCAUGUUCCUUGCCCCUCCCAGCACUUAAAGCUAUUAUAGAGAGGAAUGAGUUCAAAGGUAUGAAAACAUGUAGGAAGGAAAACGUACAAACGAUCUUCUAGAGUGACUUAUAAUAAAACUCUAGGCAUAUACCUCCAUGCUUAACUCCCUUCUUAGGCAUUCUCCUUUUGACUUCUAAGCAAGCAAGAUGUUCUAUCAUAAAAAGACAAUCAGUUGCAUUCACUGAAAGUAGAAAAAUGGACUCUCACAUUGAUGAAUGAUAGCAAACGACAAAGGCCGAUAUAGACAAGGUUUCCUGGUUAACCUUCAGUUCACCAAAAAGUCCUUUGAUUACAUCUUCUCUGAGCAUCCUAGUUAAUCAAGGCUUGUCGAGCAGAUCCUCACUCUCGGCUGUAAAGGCCUCUGCUCUUCCCCAUGUCCCUCUUCUUGUGCCCCUUAUAGUCUGCCCUUUACUCACUGCCCAGAUUGGACUCCUUCUCCCAGAACAGCAGGUAAAUUCAAUUAUCUUGGGGCUGAGUACGUAAAUUUUAGGCCUAGGCAUCCCUCCUAGAGACUCCAGAGUUGUCAGUUCCUUUAAAGUCAUUAAUACACAUAUACGGGUACGGAUGUGCUUCCACUGUGAUUCCACUCUUGGUGACAGCUGGGAAAGAGGCCCCACCACCUGACCCACCCGUCACAACACCCACCAUCCCCAUCUCAGACACGGAGCUCCAGAGACUGCCACCCUCCCUUCCCCUCCCCUGGGCCCCUCAGUGGCACCUCGAUGCUGCCAGUCUCUCCAGGCCUGCUGUGGCUUUUAGAAAACAGAGCAUGUCUAUUUUUAGCCCUUCUCAGCCUAAUAAUACUCCCCAACACCCAUUCAGCUUAAUCACUUUAUUGAGGACAAGAAGCGGGCUCUCUAGCCCGGGUGCUUCUGAUGUUAGGAAGUAGUAAAAUGUUCAAACUGGUUAAAAAUGACACUCAUUGGCUUGCCUUUGGUGUUUCUGAAACCUUAAUUGUGGCUCAGGCUGUGGAUCUAAAGAGCCUUGCAGGUUUCAGAGUCUGGCUUCCUUACCCCCUGCACCAUAAUUGAGGUGUUACAUUACAACUACGGCACUGACAUUUGCAGGCUCAAAAUUCAGCAGCCUUAAGAUGCCACACUUUUCAAAACAGAAAUAUUGCCUGCCACACUUAAUGCCUAUUCUAAGUACGAACCACCUCCCUGCCGGAAAAAAACAAACCAAAACAAAACAAAACUCGUCUUUUCUGGCUCCUCCCAUGCCAGAGGUCCAGGUGGGAAACUAUUUGCCAUAUUAAGCCCAUAGCUGCUUGAAAACAGAAAGGUUUGUUUGGUGUAAUUAGAAGACCUGCGAGUUUGGUGUGUGCAGGAAAUAGACUGUUGGCAGCUCUUCCACGUGCACCUUUGAGACCGUGACUUCCAAAGCUUCAGGGUGAGCAUCUGCAAACGUGCAAUCUGUACCACGUGAGCUGUGGGCUGGGAGAAAUGGGCAGCCUGGAAAGGGGAUGGAAACAACUUUGCCGCAGAGGUUAAGACCAGGGGCUUCAGGGUCAGGCAGCCCUGGGGUCACAGCGCAGCUCUGUCUCUUACUUGCUAGGUGAUCUUGGGCAAGUAAACUCAGUCUCCUCAUCUGUAAAAUGGAUGUCCUAACAGUACCAACUUGAAAUGGGUCUUGUGAGGCUCAAAUGAGAUGACGAAGUAAAGCAAUCUGGCACAGUACCUGGCACCUGUAGGCCUCCAGGAAAUGUCAGCUGCCACUGUCAUUAUCUCUGGUUUCCUCCUUUCUACCAUGGGCUCCUUCUAAGGCAAAGUGUUCAGUUUUUGUCUCUUCUGCCUUGCCCAGGACAAAAAGGAAAUCUGGGCACUAGAAUGGCUAACCAUGGCCAGCUGUGUGCGGUCGCAGGACAUUCUUGGACAUGUAGUAGGGAACUCCUAUGGACUCGGAGUGGGUAGAUGGAGCUGGACCCACAGCAGGAGGAUUGAGGGGAUGAUUUCUCAGGUUCCAUUCAGCUAAGCGAGUGAAAGGCACGUCCAAGGCCUGGAAACUCACCUGGACCAGGCUCUUCUACACUCCUGGGCAGCUUCCCCUGCUGCUCCUGUCUCCCUUUCCUUCCUUCUCAGGCAGGGUGCUUUGAAGCACCUUCAUAAACGUCCUGCUCUUCAGCAGGCAGAGGCGGAACGCCUCAUUAACUUUCCUAGCUAAUUUUACAAUUUAACCAAACACCACAUUUCUGCUUCGAUUCAGCCAGCCUCUGACUGUGACAAACUUUUAUAAUGUUGAGAUGGAGGAAGGAAGCAGAUAGUCCGUGCCAGAGACUGAGAUAAAGUUCUGAAAACUAAAGUGGGAGACGGAGAGUAGGAAAAAAAAAUAGCUCUGUGAACUCUAUGUAUGCUCCCAAAGCAGAAUUCUAGGCUGUGCAGGGCUGAGCAGUAGGGAAGAAAGCCACGCCGGCCUUGUGGUGUCAGAAAGAUGGAGUACUCCCGUGACAAUGACUCUUCCUGUCACCUUGGGGGGCCGGGGGCUAUAUCGGGAAGCACAGUUACAUGCUGUCCUCUGAGGGGCAUGAUUCAAUGCUGAUGGGCAGCAGGCCAGAGGUGAGGCAGGCCACCCAGAGGACACGUUCAGCUUGGCAAGGCCCCAGGGCCCCGUCCAAAGGGCACUGAAAGGCCCUUCCCAGCCCACUGAGCCGGCUCCUAGCUCCUGAUAGAGAUUCUGGAUGGGGGUGGAGUUCAGUGGGAGGACUGUAUGUCUAGGAAUGUUUCCCCAUCAAGAAUCCUAUGGGCUAGAAAAGAUCCCCAGGGUUGUCAUCACAGUCCUACAUACGCUGGUCCACGCUUUGCUCGGACAGGACAGACAGGACCUCAUUAGAGACAGAGAGUAUCAUUCGGCCUCAUUAUCUAUAAUCAGACCCUGCUCUUGGUGCAUAAAUAAGUAAUGAAGACAGUGCACUGUGAUUCUCUUUGCUCCCGGGUCAGCUUCAAAGGCUGCACCUGUCCCUCUCGAGCCUAUACUCCAGAGCUUCUGACUCCAGACCCCAAAUCUCAAUUAAUGCAAAACUGGCCCCCCAGCAGUGCUCUCUCAGAUGUGCUGGAUUAUGUCCAUUAGGCCCCAAUGAAGGCACUGGGAGAUCCGGGAUAUUCAGGCAAGAUAGUAGCCUCCCAAAAUAUCUGGUCUCUGGGCCUUUAUCCCGGGCUCAUAUUAGCAAAGGCAACUGAGGAAGGAAGACUCCAGCAAAUCCAAAGUUUCAGAGAGUUCUGUCUUUACCCGGAGUUACCUUGUUACUGAAAAUGACUGUGGUCUUUCAUAAUUACUCCAACAAAAAUGCAGCCGCCAAUGAGCUCCCUGUGCUCAAUUAGCUUAUAAUAGUCAGUAAGAGAGCUGCUGAAGUUUAAUCCAACUACCCCAGAAGACUUUUUAUCCCAACUACCUAAUGAAAACUUUAGAAUUUGCUUUUUUUUUUUUCCCCUUGUCCCAGGCAAGUGAAAGAAUUCCAAUCAAAACGGGACUGGUUUGGGGGAAGGAGGAGGGAGUGCGUUAACUACUGGGGAAAAGUCUGGAAGACAUGUCUUUGUCAGGUUGAAUCCUGGAGAGAGCCAACAAAAGGAGCCCCUGACUACAGAGGCCAAGGAGGCCCACAGCCAUCACAGGGAUUGGAGGACUCCCAAGUGCAAGAAACUGGGCUCUAAGUCUCUGCCAGGUGGCUAUGGGCGGAGGAGGAUGAGGAGGAAAGAGAUGCCUGCCUGGAUGGUUCUAGCUCACAGAAGUUCUUGCUUCCUCUUGUCCAGAAAGCCAAACCAUGCAUCCUGAGCCCUUCACUUCUUCAACAGAUAUUUCCUGAGAGCCUGCUAUGUGUCCCGCUGUGAGGAUGCAACAGAGCACACUACUGACAAGGUCCCCGCCUUCCAUCCUUGUCUUCUCAUCCAGAUUGCUGACUCCUGGGGCUGGAGGGAAGCAGGCAGCACCUCAGGUCUGUUCCUUACCAUGUGCCCAUCCGCAUGCCUGCUCACUCACCCAUUAGGUUAUUUUUCAAAUGACUGAGUUAUAACCACCAUUCAGGUUACUAAGCGAGGUAGUAUAGGGGACACAAAUAAAUCACAUGUUCUCAAGAAGCUUACAGUCUAGUAGGCAAAAAAGGCCAAGCAAAUAAAUAGCUAUGUAACAAAGAAGGUGACAGGUGCCAUAAGAGGGGAUAGAUAAAUGGCUAAGAGCGAUCAGAUGGAGGGCGGCCUCUUGUCCUGCCCAGACAGACACAUCCUAGGGCUGAGUCGGCUGACUUUUCAAAAGAGAAGAGAAAAAGGAACGCUCGCCGGUCGGGCACCAGGCCUAGCAUGGGAAACAGGCAGGACCUAUUUAAAACAACUAGAGCCAGGUUAGAGCCUUUUCUGGCAAGUCCCAAAACUCCUGGAGCUGAUCAGAUAACCAGAUAGAACCAAUACUGUCAAAAUCCUAUGGAUUUUAAAAAAUCAUUUAGCUGUUGCCGGGAUGAUAAAAGAAUCUUGCCAUUCAAAGGGAAGGUGCAGGCUCAGAGGAAGGAGGGGUCGCUGGGAGAGCAGGAGGGGGCUGGGGAGAAAAGGGAACGCCCUACAAAUAUAGAUCAGGGUUAGGGAGAAAAACCAGACGGCCAAGGACAUUUAUGCAUUGUGGUUGCUUUACUACCUAAUUAAUUCAGUAAUUUCAAAAACAAUUUUAUUUAUGUUCCAUUUACCACAUCAAAGGUGAAAAAAAUCCUACUGAUGCUAAAAUAAUACCUCAAGGCAUCUAUUUUUAAUCAGUUAAAAAAAAAAAAAGCAAGGGGUAGAGGGAGAAUUUAAAAAAAAAAAAAAACAAAAAAACUCGCCCUGGUUUCUAUACAAUCUCUCCUGGGCAGACCACCAACCCUCAGAGAGAGAGAGAGAGAGAGAAAACACAGCCAAGCCCUCUCUGAGAGCCUUCCUGGCUGCUGAAAACCAAGCUUGUCAAAAAAAAAAAAAAAAAAAAACCAAAAAAAAAAAAAACCACAAAUCCAUAAUGGCCCGAGGCUCCUCUCCAAUCUAUUUUCUGCUCAGCUGGUUUUAAAUGAAGUUAUUAUGAGUCAUUAAAACACCCGCAAGCCAGUGGAAGUCAGCCAAUUACAAUUUUAAAUUUAGCCUGUUCUCUGCCCCAUUCUCUUGUUUUCUUCCUUUGCCCACAGAAUGCUGCUGCUGUUAUUUUUUCCCUCCCUUCCUUUACCCAAAGUGAAAGAGACAGUUAUGAAAAUGCAUAGUAUUGCACGGAGCACAGAAUCAUUCAUAUGAAACUCAAAUUAUUAGACAAAAAAAUGCAAACUUCUGCCCCCUCCAAAGUCAACCCAAGCCUUGCCUCAGCCCACUGGAUUCCUCGGAAACUCCAGUCUGAGCCCCAAAGGUCAUGGGGCUAUUUUUAAAAUGAAAAGGUUCUUCAGUGGGGUCUUGUUGAGAAAUGUUCACAUCCAUCACACAAAAUCAACAUUUUCAUGGCUGAAUCCAAAAGGUAGAAACACACCACCACCAUCUGAGAAUUAAUAACAAACAAUGAAGUUGAAAUUCAAAGGUAAAGCAGGCUUUGCAAUCAAGCAUGAAUGUCGGUAGAAGUCACUCGAUAUGAUGAGCUCAUUUAGUUUUUAAAUCUUCAAGGUAAUGGUCUGUGCGGGCCCAUUACAGCAAAGGAACAAAUUUGAGUAUUUCAUGUAAAUGCUUCUUCUCAAUCUCUUUUUGUUCCCAUGCUUGGACACACAAACACACACAUGCACACAUGGUGUUCUGAUUAGGACUGUGUCCCCGAUUUCUAGGAGACACUGCAGCUUUUCCAUACCCUCCAACAAGUGAGUCCCUCUACCCAAAGGACUGUCCAAUCCUGCAAUCUUCACCAACCUCAUUUAAUGGAUGAGUCUGCAAGCUCCACAGAACAGAUGCCCAGAUGUCUGCAAACACCUUCCAUCACCUCCAGGCCCCCUCUCCCUCAUGGUUACACACACACACACACACACACACACACACACACACACACACACACGUAGACCAGUCCUCUGCCCCACGAUACUUGCAGUUCUAUGCCCCAAGAACGCAGGAGAGCCACAGCCACAGACCUAGGCAGUUGAACACCUGGGAGAGGAGUGAAUGCCAUGCCAUUUCACUGACAGUCACCGAGGGUUAGUGUGGAGGCCAGGAUGCUACCAAGAGUGGCUGCCUACCUGGUUGCUCUGGGUGAGCUGGAACUCAGGGUCCAUCCCUACCAAGCAACCUCACUGAGAAGAGCAUGUGAAAUACCAUGAUGUUUCCAGGCCCAUUGCGACCUGCAGCCAUUUGCCAAAGGCUUGACCUCUAUGGAACAUAAACCUGAGGCCUGUGAGCACAGAUGUCCCAGGUUCUGAAGGUCCCCAGAGCUGGGCAGAUGACACCCUCCUAUCCUCAGCCCUGAGCCACCCCACUAAGUAGUUCCAAGUGAGACCCCUCAACAGCAACCUCUCAAGUGGUUCACCCAGGCCUGUUCUCCCGGAAGCCAGUAAAGCUGAAGCUUCAGGCCUCUCCCUGGCACUGACCCCUUUCCUGGGAGAGGCUCUAACACCUGGUAUUUAUAAUCCUUUUCUGAGAGACAGCACCCAAAACUGAGUACGCUUCAGGCCCCACCAAACCCAGAUCUGCCCUAGUAGUACAAACACUUUUAUAACAGGAUAUUCAUUUAUUUGACAGAUACUAUCAGUGCACAACACUCCUAUGUACCAGGCACUUUGCUAGGGCAUGAGUAUGUGAGGGCAGCUGCUGAGUCCUGCACUCAGGUGCACAGUACUGGCCCAGGAGAGCACAGUACCAGCAAAGUCCAAUAAGGGCCUUGUAAAGCCUAACCCUGCUAAACUACUUGCCCAUUCUCAACACAACUGGGAUUUGGGGGGAACAUCCAGGGACCUGGGAAAAGCAGGGGCCAAGCCAGAGAAGCCCCACUCUGGCCCCUGAGAGGCAAGGGACAAGAGCACAUGAGAUUCUAGGUGCUGGGAGCAUUCUAGGGACACUGGCUCAAGAGUCCUCCCCUCUGGGGAGACCUCUGGGCCAGAGUGACAUUUUGUUUUCCAUUCCAACCACUGCCCAGCUUCCAAGCUAAAAAAAACUUUGAGGUGGUGGGUUAGGACAGGGAGGCAGGGAGGCAGGGAGAGACAGAGACAGAGACAAAGACAGAGAAAGAGAGAGACAGAGAAAAGACCAACGAAGACAGAUGGAGACAAAGACAGAUGAAGACAUAAGAAGGAAGACAGAAAAUACACAGGAGUGUCAAGAAAAGGCCGAGGCUGACACAGACACAAAGGACAGGGACAAAGAGAUGAAGUGAGAUGAAAGCAGAUUGGGGAGAAAUAGAAGGAGAAGAGAAGAGCUGAAAAAUAAAUACCUGCCACCACAGAGACCUGGACAAGAGCACUGAAAGUAAGGGCCGCAGUAGCGUGAUGGAUGCCCAAAGCAGGGUGGGGCCCCUCAGGCACAGCCCUGGAUACAGAUACCCAGGCCCAGCCUGGUUAGAGGGCUAGGGAAUGGGGCUGAGGGCAAGAGAAAGCACGGCCAGGCCUCCUAAGAACGCUUCCGGCAGGGUGUGUGUCUGCGAAGCCAAGGGAAGACGAAAAGGCCCUGGAAAUCAGAAAUGGCAUUGCCAUUAUCAGGUUGAUCCCACGUAAAUAUCCCUCCCCAAUAACCCCAUAUCUAUUCAUCCUCAGACAAUAACAAGGACCAGCAAGGCAACCCAGAACGUAGGAAGGAUGGCAGGAGCAAAGGAGAGGAAAGGGAGACUAGGAGAAUAAAUGGCAGACAGACAGAUGUCCCAGCAUCCAUCCCUCUAGGGCACCAUUCAUUUCCUAAUAAGACCGUCAUCCUCUAGCUGUGCAAAAUCAUGUGGUGGCAUGAGACAGGGUUUGUGUGGAAGAAACCACCCUAUGCUGAGAUAGAAAAAUCAUCGAGAGAGGGAGAAGGAAGAAGGUUAUUACAUAAUUUCCACUUUCUUCCCUCCACCCUCAAAGUAAUGUUCUAUCUGACAGGCUCCUCUCUGAGGGGGGAAAAAUGACAAAUCCAAUCCAAAAUUCAACAGCCUGUGUUCUGUUCAGAGAGCACACAGUGUACUGUACAGCCCAUAAAACUCCAAACAGCCUCCAGACACUGCCGCAAUCGUCCUCCAUCAAAACACUUUGUCUUGCAUACAAAAAUAAGAUACAGCGCUGAACAGAAUACAAAAUCAGCCCAUUACAGUACAGGGAGACUGCUACUUAGCAACGAGGGGGCUCUAAAGCCUCGAUGCUCUACAGGAAGCAAAAUCUGUCGAGCCUGUUGGGCAAACGAUAAACAUUAGCAGUAUUAAAAAACACAAAAGCCAUGUAAAUGGAUAGACAUAAUGUGGAAACAAAUUUAUAGAAUAAAUUGGGAUGGGGGAUUUGCGGGGUGGGAGGAGAUGCUGGGAUCCAGAGGGGUAGAUGGAACGAGCUUCCCCAACCCCUGCUAAGGCACCAUAUGGAGACAGAGACAUGUGUAUUUGGGGGCAGGGACAUGUGAACCCCCUCUUCACACAGGGGCUGUAGGUGAAGGGGUGGGAGAGAACUGGUGAAAACACUGUUUAAAACCAUGACCUGCAAUGAACUUUCCCAACUUUCUCGGUUCAGCUGGCCUGACUAGGACCGGGGGACCCAGGCACGCAAAACCGCAGCACUAAGGUGGCAGUUACGUGGGGGAUUUAUCUGCCCUGGGGCCAGCAUCGCACCCAGCACCAUCAUGGAACCUGAUACUUGCUGUAAACAAAAUCCCUGGCCAAAAAACAAAAACCAAAAAAAA
RNAcentral lists this long non-coding RNA (9175 nucleotides) under Homo sapiens (human). RNAcentral's name for it is "HSALNT0364950". The record is from RNAcentral. Lineage: Eukaryota; Metazoa; Chordata; Mammalia; Primates; Hominidae.